This 491-nucleotide non-coding RNA is filed under the name Pan troglodytes (chimpanzee). RNAcentral also lists the same sequence under 1 other name. Lineage: Eukaryota; Metazoa; Chordata; Mammalia; Primates; Hominidae. The record is from RNAcentral.
ACUCCCAUAGUGACCCUCUCUGGCCACAUGGAGGCAGUUUCCUCAGUUCUGUGGUCAGAUGCUGAAGAAAUCUGCAGUGCAUCUUGGGACCAUACAAUUAGAGUGUGGGAUGUUGAGUCUGGCAGUCUUAAGUCAACUUUGGUAAGACAAAUUCAGUGUUCUUUUAAGUGAUAAACUUCUAGAGAUGGUUUUUAGUCUACCAUGGUUAAUGUUCUUUCCUUUUCUUUUUCAGACAGGAAAUAAAGUGUUUAAUUGUAUUUCCUAUUCUCCACUUUGUAAACGUUUAGCAUCUGGAAGCACAGAUAGGCAUAUCAGACUGUGGGAUCCCCGAACUAAAGAUGGUUCUUUGGUGUCGCUGUCCCUAACGUCACAUACUGGUUGGGUGACAUCAGUAAAAUGGUCUCCUACCCAUGAACAGCAGCUGAUUUCAGGAUCUUUAGAUAACAUUGUUAAGCUGUGGGAUACAAGAAGGUAAAUUCUAUUUAUGAUCU